AUUAUUGGAAAUGAAAUGUUAUUCGUUUAUAAAGAUAUCUAGUUUUUUUAGAAAUAAAUUUAAUUUAAAAGUUUUUAAUUUUAUUGAUUAAUUAAAUUAAUUAAUAAAUUUUUAAAUUUUAAUAUUUUAAGGGAUAAGCUUUAAAAUAAAUUUUUAUAAAUUAAUAAAUGAUAAUUAAAAUUAUAUGCAUAGAAUUAGUAAUUAUUAAAAAUUUUGUUAUAAAUUAUUUUUUAAAAUAUAUUAUUUAUUAUAAUUUUAAAUUUUUUAUAGAAAUAUUUUUUUUAAUUUUAUUUAAAAAGUAAUAAUGAUAAAAUUAGUAUAUUUAUAUUAUGUAAAUAUAAUUUAUUUUGAUAAGUUUAUAUAAAGAACUCGGCAAAUAUUUUACUCGCCUGUUUAACAAAAACAUGUCUUUUUGUGUUAUUUUUAAAGUCUAACCUGCCCAAUGAAUUAAUUAAAUGGCCGCAGUAUUUUGACUGUGCAAAGGUAGCAUAAUCAUUAGUCUUUUAAUUGAAGGCUUGAAUGAAUGGUUGGACGAAGUAUAAUCUGUUUCAUUUAAAUUUAUUAUAGAAUUUUAUAUUUUAGUAAAAAAGCUAAAAUAUUUUUAAAAGACGAGAAGACCCUAUAAAUCUUUAUAAUUUAUAUUAUUUUUAUUUUUUAUAUUUAUUUUAUUUAAAUAAUUUGAAUUAUUUUGUUGGGGUGAUAUUAAAAUUUAAUAAACUUUUAAUUUAAUUAUUUCAUUAAUUUAUGUUUUAUUGAUCCAUUAAUAAUGAUUAAAAGAAUAAGUUACUUUAGGGAUAACAGCGUAAUUUUUUUGGAGAGUUCUUAUUGAUAAAAAAGUUUGCGACCUCGAUGUUGGAUUAAGAUAUAAGUUUAGGUGUA
Molecule: ribosomal RNA, 879 nt
Filed under: Trupanea sp. 'pohakuloa'
Lineage: Eukaryota; Metazoa; Arthropoda; Insecta; Diptera; Tephritidae
Description: partial 16S ribosomal RNA
Source: RNAcentral